RNAcentral lists this ribosomal RNA (264 nucleotides) under uncultured bacterium. RNAcentral describes it as "partial 16S ribosomal RNA". It matches the Rfam family "Bacterial small subunit ribosomal RNA", at positions 793 to 1055 of the family's 1533-position model. The record is from RNAcentral.
GUCCUAGCCCUAAACCAUCAGAACUUGGGGUGGCCCGCGUAGGCGGGUCGUCCCGUAGCUAACGCGUUAAGUUCUGCGCCUGGGGAGUACGGUCGCAAGACUGAAACUCAAAGGAAUUGACGGGGCCCGCACAAGCGGUGGAACAUGUGGUUCAAUUUCGACGCAACGCGAAGAACCUUACCUGGGCUUGAACCGCUACUGACCAAGGGUAGAAAUAUCCUCUUCCCGCAAGGGACAGUAGUAGAGGUGCUGCAUGGCUGUCGU